GCCGGGGUAGCUCAGCUGGGAGAGCAACAGACUGAAGACUUGGUCGUUUUCUGGAGGUCCCGUGUUCAAUCCACGGUCCUGGCA
Molecule: non-coding RNA, 84 nt
Organism: Boletus reticuloceps
Lineage: Eukaryota; Fungi; Basidiomycota; Agaricomycetes; Boletales; Boletaceae
Source: the annotation of a GenBank genome assembly